RNAcentral lists this long non-coding RNA (1266 nucleotides) under Gallus gallus (chicken). The record is from RNAcentral. Lineage: Eukaryota; Metazoa; Chordata; Aves; Galliformes; Phasianidae.
GCGGACUUGUGCUGUCACUGACGGGGCUGAGGGGAUCAUUAGCUGAGACAGCAACUGAUUCUGUGCUUUUAUCCCCUUGAAUUACAGGGGCAUAUUCUUCCUCAUUAUCAUCUUCCACAAUUACGAUAUCAGGAGAACGACUGCAGUUAGAAGAAUCUGAGGUGGUAUCUUCAUUUGUCUCUGGUGUAAUGGGAGCAUUUUCUUCAUCAACCAUGGUAUUUUCCUCAUCAGCCACAUCCUCAGUAACAUCAUAAAUAAUGAUGUCAUCUGAAAUUUGUUCUCUUUGUUUUAAGCCCUCAGUUCUGUUGAGAGGUACAUGGUUAUUGUCUGCUGGUUCUUUCACAAUUUGCUGAAAUACAUUCGACUUUGUAGGUCCAUUAGUGUUCAGAAGUAGAGGCCUCUUGCGUUUUAGGCUCACUAGUUGGUUAUUCUGCACCAAGGUAACAAUAAAUUGUACAAUCUUCCGAAUAACUUGCUGUUGUUUCAGGUGUUUUGCUCUCAGUUCUGCCACUUCCCUCCAAAGAGAUUCAUUCUCCCUUUUCAGAGCAGACAACCGAGAUUCAAUAGUCUCUUGUUUAAUCUCCACUUUCUGAGCACUACUUAUUAUUUUGGAGAGAUCCUCCUGGCUUAUCUUGUUUUCUUCAGGUCUUGAAGAAGAAACCUUCCUUUUAAUGUGUUCCAACAAGUCCUCUCGACCCUGCUUAAAAUACGGGUGCUGAAACUCAACUAGACCAUCUCGUUCCAGUUUGACAAUCCCAGAGUCAACAUGGACAACUUUACGGAAGCCAUACAUGUUUAGCUGUCUGACAAAGCUUGCCAUGUUGUUGUGCUUGAAGUACUUAGGCAGAAUCUCUUUGGCAAAUCUCUGUUCAUCCAACACCAAGAAACUCUGGCCAUUCUGGCUCCAGGUGAUAAGCUGGUUGCUGGGCGCCUCGCCCACCAGCGCCCACAGCUUGCUGAGGAAGGCCGGCACCCCGGCGCCGGCGGGGGGCGGCUGCUGGGCCGGCUGCUGCUGUUGCGGUUCCUGCUUCAUUGUCGCUCGAGACCUCCGCCGUCUGACCGGGGGAGGGGCGCGGGAGGAGGGCAACCAGCGCCACUCGGCCCCGCCCCUCAUCCCGCGCGCUUGCGCACAGGGCUGCCCCGCAUGCGCGGCAGCCGGCGGCCGAGGCGCCUGCGCAGCAUUCAGGCGCCUCCCCGCCCCUUCGCCCCCCGUGCUUUACAUAACGGACCCACGUGCGCCGCCCUCACGUGCCACAACAGCGCGCG